CUACGGGGCGCUGCAGUGGGGAAUAUUGGACAAUGGGGGAAACCCUGAUCCAGCAAUGCCGCGUGUGUGAAGAAGGCCUGCGGGUUGUAAAGCACUUUCGGUUGGGAGGACUGCUUCUAGCACUAAUAUUGUUGGAAGUUGACGUUACCUUCAGAAGAAGCACCGGCUAACUCCGUGCCAGCAGCCGCGGUAAUACGAAGGGUGCAAGCGUUAAUCGGAAUUACUGGGCGUAAAGCGCGCGUAGGCGGCUAGAUCAGUCGGGUGUGAAAGCCCCGGGCUUAACCUGGGAACUGCAUCCGAUACUGUCUAGCUUGAGUACAGGAGAGGAGAGUGGAAUUCCACAUGUAGCGGUGAAAUGCGUAGAUAUGUGGAGGAACACCAAUGGCGAAGGCAGCUCUCUGGCCUGAUACUGACGCUGAGGUGCGAAAGCGUGGGGAGCAAACAGGAUUAGAUACCCGGGUAGUC
RNAcentral lists this ribosomal RNA (465 nucleotides) under uncultured bacterium. RNAcentral describes it as "partial 16S ribosomal RNA". It matches the Rfam family "Bacterial small subunit ribosomal RNA", at positions 339 to 795 of the family's 1533-position model. The record is from RNAcentral.